GGCCGGGUGUGUAAGCGCAGCGAUGCGUUGAGCUAACCGGUACUAAUGAACCGUGAGGCUUAACCUU
Molecule: ribosomal RNA, 67 nt
Filed under: Klebsiella quasipneumoniae
Lineage: Bacteria; Pseudomonadati; Pseudomonadota; Gammaproteobacteria; Enterobacterales; Enterobacteriaceae
Description: 23S rRNA. Bacterial LSU
Source: RNAcentral